Molecule: ribosomal RNA, 460 nt
Filed under: uncultured bacterium
Lineage: Bacteria
Description: partial 16S ribosomal RNA
Rfam family: Bacterial small subunit ribosomal RNA
Source: RNAcentral
CCUACGGGUGGCAUCAGUGAGGAAUAUUGGUCAAUGGGCGGAAGCCUGAACCAGCCAAGUAGCGUGCAGGAUGACUGCCCUAUGGGUUGUAAACUUCUUUUAUAUGGGAAUAAAGUGUUCCACGUGUGGGGUUUUGUAUGUACCAUAUGAAUAAGGAUCGGCUAACUCCGUGCCAGCAGCCGCGGUAAUACGGAGGAUCCGAGCGUUAUCCGGAUUUAUUGGGUUUAAAGGGAGCGUAGGUGGAUUGUUAAGUGAGUUGUGAAAUUUUGCGGCUCAACCGGAAAAUUGCAGUUGAAACUGGCAGUCUUGAGUACAGGAGAGGUGGGCGGAAUGCGUGGUGUAGCGGUGAAAUGCUUAGAUAUCACGAAGAACUCCGAUUGCGAAGGCAGUUUACUGGAGCGCAACUGACACUGAGGCUCGAAAGCGUGGGUAUCAAACAGGAUUAGAUACCCUAGUAGUC